GAUGAACGCUAGCGGCAGGCUUAACACAUGCAAGUCGAGGGGUAGAGGAAGCUUGCUUCCUUGAGACCGGCGCACGGGUGCGUAACGCGUAUGCAAUCUACCUUAUACAGGGGAUAGCCCAGAGAAAUUUGGAUUAAUACCCCAUAGUAUAAUUGAAUGGCAUCAUUUGAUUAUUAAAGUUCCAACGGUAUAAGAUGAGCAUGCGUCCCAUUAGCUAGUUGGUGUGGUAACGGCACACCAAGGCGACGAUGGGUAGGGGUCCUGAGAGGAGAUCCCCACACUGGUACUGAGACACGGACCAGACUCCUACGGGAGGCAGCAGUGAGGAAUAUUGGUCAAUGGGCGCAAGCCUGAACCAGCCAUGCCGCGUGCAGGAUGACGGUCCUAUGGAUUGUAAACUGCUUUUGUUACAGGAAGAAACACUCCCUCGUGAGGGAGCUUGACGGUACUGUAAGAAUAAGGAUCGGCUAACUCCGUGCCAGCAGCCGCGGU
Molecule: ribosomal RNA, 492 nt
Filed under: uncultured bacterium
Lineage: Bacteria
Description: bacterial SSU rRNA
Rfam family: Bacterial small subunit ribosomal RNA
Source: RNAcentral